This 497-nucleotide ribosomal RNA is filed under the name uncultured bacterium. RNAcentral's name for it is "partial 16S ribosomal RNA". It matches the Rfam family "Bacterial small subunit ribosomal RNA", at positions 28 to 507 of the family's 1533-position model. The record is from RNAcentral.
GAUGAACGCUGGCGGCGUGCCUAAUACAUGCAAGUCGAGCGAACAGACGAGGAGCUUGCUCCUCUGACGUUAGCGGCGGACGGGUGAGUAACACGUGGAUAACCUACCUAUAAGACUGGGAUAACUUCGGGAAACCGGAGCUAAUACCGGAUAAUAUAUUGAACCGCAUGGUUCAAUAGUGAAAGACGGUUUUGCUGUCACUUAUAGAUGGAUCCGCGCCGCAUUAGCUAGUUGGUAAGGUAACGGCUUACCAAGGCGACGAUGCGUAGCCGACCUGAGAGGGUGAUCGGCCACACUGGAACUGAGACACGGUCAAGACUCCUACGGGAGGCAGCAGUAGGGAAUCGUCCGCAAUGGGCGAAAGCCUGACGGAGCAACGCCGCGUGAGUGAUGAAGGUCUUCGGAUCGUAAAACUCUGUUAUUAGGGAAGAACAAAUGUGUAAGUAACUAUGCACGUCUUGACGGUACGUAAUCAGAAAGCCACGGCUAACUACGUG